UCCUCGGUAGCUCAGCGGUAGAGUAGGUGGCUGUUAACCACUUGGUCGCAGGUUCGAAUCCUGCCCGAGGAG
This 72-nucleotide transfer RNA is filed under the name Planctomycetota bacterium. RNAcentral describes it as "Planctomycetes bacterium tRNA-Asn". It matches the Rfam family "tRNA". From Rfam's summary of the family: Transfer RNA (tRNA) molecules are approximately 80 nucleotides in length. Their secondary structure includes four short double-helical elements and three loops (D, anti-codon, and T loops). The record is from RNAcentral. Lineage: Bacteria; Pseudomonadati; Planctomycetota.